Molecule: ribosomal RNA, 489 nt
Filed under: uncultured bacterium
Lineage: Bacteria
Description: partial 16S ribosomal RNA
Rfam family: Bacterial small subunit ribosomal RNA
Source: RNAcentral
GUGAACACUGGCGGUAGGCCUAACACCUGCAAGUCGAACGGCAGCACAGGAGAGCUUGCUCUCUGGGUGGCGAGUGGCGGACGGGUGAGGAAUACAUCGGAAUCUGCCCAGUCGUGGGGGAUAACGUAGGGAAACUUACGCUAAUACCGCAUACGACCUUCGGGUGAAAGAGGGGGAUCGCAAGACCUCUCGCGAUUGGAUGAGCCGAUGUCGGAUUAGCUAGUUGGCGGGGUAAUGGCCCACCAAGGCGACGAUCCGUAGCUGGUCUGAGAGGAUGAUCAGCCACACUGGAACUGAGACACGGUCCAGACUCCUACGGGAGGCAGCAGUGGGGAAUAUUGGACAAUGGGCGCAAGCCUGAUCCAGCCAUACCGCGUGGGUGAAGAAGGCCUUCGGGUUGUAAAGCCCUUUUGUUGGGAAAGAAAUCUUUCAGGCUAAUACCCUGGGAGGAUGACGGUACCCAAAGAAUAAGCACCGGCUAACUUCGUG